RNAcentral lists this ribosomal RNA (429 nucleotides) under Bacteroidota bacterium. RNAcentral describes it as "Bacteroidetes bacterium partial 16S ribosomal RNA". It matches the Rfam family "Bacterial small subunit ribosomal RNA", at positions 355 to 776 of the family's 1533-position model. Lineage: Bacteria; Pseudomonadati; Bacteroidota. RNAcentral also lists the same sequence under 1 other name. The record is from RNAcentral.
UAGGGAAUCUUCGGCAAUGGGGGGAACCCUGACCGAGCAACGCCGCGUGAGUGAAGAAGGUUUUCGGAUCGUAAAGCUCUGUUGUUAAGGAAGAACGAGUGUGAGAAUGGAAAGUUCAUGCUGUGACGGUACUUAACCAGAAAGGGACGGCUAACUACGUGCCAGCAGCCGCGGUAAUACGUAGGUCCCGAGCGUUGUCCGGAUUUAUUGGGCGUAAAGCGAGCGCAGGCGGUUAGAAAAGUCUGAAGUGAAAGGCAGUGGCUCAACCAUUGUAGGCUUUGGAAACUGUUUAACUUGAGUGCAGAAGGGGAGAGUGGAAUUCCAUGUGUAGCGAUGAAAUGCGUAGAUAUAUGGAGGAACACCGGUGGCGAAAGCGGCUCUCUGGUCUGUAACUGACGCUGAGGCUCGAAAGCGUGGGGAGCGAACAGG